RNAcentral lists this transfer RNA (74 nucleotides) under Aedes aegypti (yellow fever mosquito). It matches the Rfam family "tRNA". Rfam says of the family: Transfer RNA (tRNA) molecules are approximately 80 nucleotides in length. Their secondary structure includes four short double-helical elements and three loops (D, anti-codon, and T loops). Lineage: Eukaryota; Metazoa; Arthropoda; Insecta; Diptera; Culicidae. The record is from Rfam by way of RNAcentral.
UGUUCUAUAGUUUAGUUGGUUAAAGCACCGGUCUAACUAACACGGAGUCGUGAGUUCGAGUCUCACUAAAACGC